RNAcentral lists this ribosomal RNA (774 nucleotides) under uncultured bacterium. RNAcentral describes it as "bacterial SSU rRNA". It matches the Rfam family "Bacterial small subunit ribosomal RNA", at positions 8 to 796 of the family's 1533-position model. The record is from RNAcentral.
AGAGUUUGAUCCUGGCUCAGGACGAACGCUGGCGGCGUGCUUAACACAUGCAAGUCGAGCGGAAAGGCCCUUUCGGGGGUACUCGAGCGGCGAACGGGUGAGUAACACGUGAGUAACCUGCCCUGGACUUUGGGAUAACCCUCGGAAACGGGGGGCUAAUACCGGAUACGACAUUCCACCGCAUGGUGUGUUUGUGGAAAGUUUUUUCGGUCUGGGAUGGGCUCGCGGCCUAUCAGCUUGUUGGUGGGGUGAUGGCCUACCAAGGCGACGACGGGUAGCCGGCCUGAGAGGGCGACCGGCCACACUGGGACUGAGACACGGCCCAGACUCCUACGGGAGGCAGCAGUGGGGAAUAUUGCACAAUGGGCGGAAGCCUGAUGCAGCGACGCCGCGUGAGGGAUGACGGCCUUCGGGUUGUAAACCUCUUUCAGCAGGGACGAAGCGCAAGUGACGGUACCUGCAGAAGAAGCGCCGGCCAACUACGUGCCAGCAGCCGCGGUAAGACGUAGGGCGCGAGCGUUGUCCGGAUUUAUUGGGCGUAAAGAGCUCGUAGGCGGCUUGUCGCGUCGACUGUGAAAACCCGCGGCUCAACCGCGGGCCUGCAGCCGAUACGGGCAGGCUAGAGUUCGGUAGGGGAGACUGGAAUUCCUGGUGUAGCGGUGAAAUGCGCGAUAUCAGGAGGAACACCGGUGGCGAAGGCGGGUCUCUGGGCCGAUACUGACGCUGAGGAGCGAAAGCGUGGGGAGCGAACAGGAUUAGAUACCCUAGUAGUCC